RNAcentral lists this ribosomal RNA (379 nucleotides) under uncultured eukaryote. RNAcentral's name for it is "partial 18S ribosomal RNA". It matches the Rfam family "Eukaryotic small subunit ribosomal RNA", at positions 592 to 976 of the family's 1831-position model. The record is from RNAcentral.
CAAUAGCGUAUAUUAAAGUUGUUGCAGUUAGAAAGCUCGUAGUUGAACUUCAGACCUGGCCGGGCGGUCCGCCGCAAGGUGUGUACUGUCUGGCUGGGCCUUACCUCUUGGUGAGCCGGCAUGCCCUUUACUGGGUGUGUCGGGGAACCAGGACUUUUACCUUGAGAAAAUUAGAGUGUUCAAAGCAGGCCUAUGCCUGAAUACGUUAGCAUGGAAUAAUAAAAUAGGACGUGCGGUUCUAUUUUGUUGGUUUCUAGAGUCGCCGUAAUGAUUAAUAGGGAUAGUUGGGGGCAUUCGUAUUCCGUUGCUAGAGGUGAAAUUCUUGGAUUUACGGAAGACGAACUUCUGCGAAAGCAUUUGCCAAGGAUGUUUUCNUUAA